Molecule: ribosomal RNA, 744 nt
Filed under: Triticum aestivum (bread wheat)
Lineage: Eukaryota; Viridiplantae; Streptophyta; Magnoliopsida; Poales; Poaceae
Description: partial small subunit ribosomal RNA
Source: RNAcentral
AUGGAUCCCGAUGUGGAGCACCAUGGAUCCCGAUGUGGAGCUCCACUAUGGCCCGAUCUGACCUGGGAGCAACUAGAUCCGUGUGUCUCCGCCUCACUCCGCGCGCCUCCAUGGUCCGCCGUCUUCCCGAGCGCCGGCGCCGCGCUCAGCCGCCGCCGUCCCAUGCCAUGGUCGCCUCCCUCCAGAACGAUGUGCCAUGGCCGCCUCCCUGCCUCUCCCACAAGUGGGACUCUGCACCCCUGGCCUAGCAUAUUAAUGGAGGGCGCUGCCGACGUCGGUUCAUGCCUCGGUGCUCCUCACAUUAACUCCCAGCACCCGUACAUCAGCCCCAAGGCACCACGCGAUUCCGGCAGCUCCAUUGGGGAAGCACCAAGGACAAUUUCGCUUCAAUUUAAUGUGAGCUCAAUCCUCAAAGCUUGCACAUGGAUCCCUUAUAGUAUGCAAUCAAGCUUGAUGAUAAAAUCUUGGAGAGACACUAGGUGCCAGGUUGGAGAUUUGGGAUCGGAUGCGCCAAUAACAAGGGACCAAGGUGCUGAACUAAUGGGUAAUGGCACGGGCAGAAUGAUUCUUCAGUCUUUCAGCCAAGCUCUGGUGAAUGAUGACGGAGAAAAAGAUAUCGUGACAGAGGAGGAUGUCUUCUUGCGUCCAACCCUAGAUCACAGGGGCUCUCUUAUCAGCAAAAUAGCUACUCUAGAUGCGCAGAUGACGAUCGCAAGAGAUCAUAUCUUGAGGAUAAGUGAAUGA